Molecule: ribosomal RNA, 301 nt
Filed under: uncultured bacterium
Lineage: Bacteria
Description: partial 16S ribosomal RNA
Rfam family: Bacterial small subunit ribosomal RNA
Source: RNAcentral
CAGUCGCCACGGGAAUACGAAGGGGGCUAGCGUUGCUCGGAAUCACUGGGCGUAAAGGGUGCGUAGGCGGGUCUUUAAGUCAGGGGUGAAAUCCUGGAGCUCAACUCCAGAACUGCCUUUGAUACUGAAGAUCUUGAGUUCGGGAGAGGUGAGUGGAACUGCGAGUGCAGAGGUGAAAUUCGUAGAUAUUCGCAAGAACACCAGUGGCGAAGGCGGCUCACUGGCCCGAUACUGACGCUGAGGCACGAAAGCGUGGGGAGCAAACAGGAUUAGAUACCCCUGUAGUCCCUGUCUCUUAUAA